AGAACUUUAAUUAGUCUGUCAGAUUAGCAGGUUCACAUUAGUCGUUCCACCAGCCGUCGCAGGCAGAGCUUCAGAAGAUGAGUUCCCUAACGGUGUUUGGUUUCCUGUGUCUUGCCAUGGCAAUACAACCAGGAUUUGCCGAUCUUGUCGGAUACAAGAUAGUUGUAAAAACAGGUAAUAAACUGGCAGGGGGAACCCACGCAAAUGUUUUCAUGAGUUUGUUUGGUUCAAAGGGAACAACUGGCAGGAUUCCUCUUCCACGUCAGCAUAAUGACAGCUUUCAGAGGGGAAUCCAGGAUGAGUUUAAUGUGACUUCCUUCAACGUUGGACGAGUUCACUCUAUAGAAAUUGGACAUGACAACGUUGGCUUGUGAGCGGGCUGGUUCCUUGAUCAUGU
Long non-coding RNA from Physella acuta, 397 nucleotides. RefSeq lists it as uncharacterized. NCBI's taxonomy places the organism in Eukaryota, Metazoa, Mollusca, Gastropoda, Physidae. The record is from RefSeq and is a predicted model, not a curated record.